RNAcentral lists this ribosomal RNA (253 nucleotides) under uncultured bacterium. RNAcentral's name for it is "partial 16S ribosomal RNA". It matches the Rfam family "Bacterial small subunit ribosomal RNA", at positions 1248 to 1500 of the family's 1533-position model. The record is from RNAcentral.
CGGAAAUAAGUGAUAUAGAGCAAAACCCUAAAAACGGUACUCAGUUCGGAUUGAAGGCUGAAAUUCGCCUUCAUGAAGCUGGAAUUGCUAGUAAUGGCAGGUCAGCAUACUGCCGUGAAUACGUUCCCGGGCCUUGUACACACCGCCCGUCACACCAUGAGAGUUGGGAAUACCCGAAGCCUGUGAGCUAACUGUAAGGAGGCAGCAGUCGAAGGUAGAAUCAAUGAUUGGGGUGAAGUCGUAACAAGGUAUC